AACGCAACUCCUCUAGAUGCUAACGUUAACAACAUUACCCCGGUAAACCAGUUUGAACAAACCGGUACGGUGCUGUUGUGCCUGGAGAAGAAAUCUUUCUAGGUUAUAGUUUUGAAGUACAUUGUUUCACGCACAAGGCUGGACGUCAACACAGAUCCUGCAGGAGGACAUGGAGACUGCUGUGAUUAAUCUUCACAGCAUUUUUGAAAGCCUGCGGGCACAAGCUGAUGUUCUCAAUGAAAGCAUUGAGCCCCAGUUCAUUCAGAUGGCCUUGAACUUUGAGGACAGCCGCCGUAGAUGGCUGAGACUCGAGCAGGAGCUGAAUGCAUGCAAGGAGGUGGUCACCAAGGCCGAGACGGAGCGAGGAGCUCUGGAGGUCAAGCUCAAACAUGCCCGCAACCAAGUAGAUGUGGAGAUCCGUCGGAGACAGAAAGCUGAGGCUGACUGUGCGAAACUGGACCGACAGAUCCAGCUCAUCCGGGAGCUGUUGGUGACCGAAGGCUCCAGUAACAGCAUCCAGUUAAAUGAGGAGCAGCGCUCAGCUCUGGCCUUUCUGAAUGUCCGUUGCCAGAAUCCUGCAAACCUCAACACCAGCCGACGACUGACCACCAUUGAUGAAUCAGGCUCUAUCUUAUCAGACAUCAGUUAUGAUAAAACCGAUGAUUCUUUGGACUGGGACUCUUCUGCAAUCAGGACUGUUCGUCUCAAGAAACGGCAAAAGAGACGCUCCUCCCGAAACCACACAGAUGGCCCCCCUGCCGCUGCCAAGAGGUCCCGUUCCACCGGCCGCACCUCUGAGAAAGGUAAUGAGUCUUUGGUGGCUAAGACCACUGUGACCGUGCCCGCUGAUGGCGGACCCAUUGAAGCUGUCACCACAGUGGAAGCUGUUCCUUACUGGACCCGGAGCCGCCGAAAGACUGCUGCUCUGGAGUGGGACACUGCUGACACAGACUCUGUUCAGUCUAUGGAUGUGUUCAAGCAGCCCAGUCAGCCUAAUGGAGAGAUCAAGGCAGGGCCCAGCACUCCCCAGGGCAACGGAGGUGUCCGUCUGCAUGAAUUUGUCUCCAAAACGGUGAUCAAGCCAGAGUCUUGUGUGCCAUGUGGUAAGAGGAUCAAAUUUGGGAAGAUCUCUCUGAAGUGCAGGGACUGCCGUGUGGUGUCCCACCCCGAGUGCCGUGAGCGCUGCCCUCUGCCCUGCAUUCCAACCAUGACUGGGACUCCAGUGAAAUCCGAGGAGGGCAUCCUUGCAAAUUAUGUGUCCACAUCCUCUCCCAUGAUUCCUUCGCUAGUAGUGCACUGUGUUAAUGAGAUUGAGCAGAGAGGCCUACAUGAGACUGGUCUGUAUCGGGUGUCUGGCUCGGAUCGAGUGGUAAAGGACCUGAAAGAGAAGUUCCUGCGUGGGAAGGCUGUUCCUUUGCUCAGCAAGGUGGAAGAUAUCCAUGCCAUCACUGGCCUCCUCAAGGACUUCCUGAGGAAACUCAAAGAACCCCUGCUGACCUUCCGCCUCACUCGUGCCUUCAUGGAUGCCGCUGAGCUCUCCGAUGAUGACAACAGCAUCGCCUUGAUGUAUCAGAACAUCAGUGAUCUUCCACAGCCUAACAGAGACACUCUGGCCUUCCUCAUCAUCCAUUUGCAGAGGGUGGCCCAGAGUAAAGAUACAAAAAUGGAUGUAACCAAUCUGGCUCGUGUAUUUGGACCCACAAUUGUGGGUCAUGCUGUUCCUGACCCAGAUCCAAUGACCAUCCUGCAGGACACAAAACGACAGGCAAAAGUGGUUGAGUGCCUCCUGGGUCUGCCUGUGGAGUACUGGAGCCAGUUUAUGAUCAGCAACAAUGACCAGGCUCACAAUGAUAACAUGAUCAUUGAGAAUGCCAAUGUCCACGCAACUCCUGAUCAGAUGAACGAGUAUGUUUGGGCCCAUUACGACUCCUGACCAGCAGAUGAGCAAGACCCCAUCGUCCAGCUCUCUCUCCCAGCGCAUGAAGAAUGCAACUCUCAAUGCAAUCACUCCAAAGUUUUCUAGCAGAAGCAGAGCUGCCGUUAGCGUCUCUCGCCAGGGGCACUUUUUCGCCUCUCCUCUCCUGAAGUAGCCCUGAAGCUCCUCAAGGCUAAGAGUUUUUCUUUUCUUUGGGAAACAGCUGCAAUAUAUUACAUAAUCCUACUUGUAUAUUUUAUGUCUGGUUUGUCCAUCAAUUUGGACCAUAUUAACGCUACUCAUUUUAUCUGUCAAGUUUUCUAGUAACAUUUGUAUUUUAGUUGCUUUUAAAUGUUUUAAUGUACUUUUAACAUUCUCACAACCAAAGCGAUGGGCUGUUAUAAGCAGUUCCAUCAGUCUCUAAAUCCUCAGUUAACAACAGGAUCUGCAUCAGUUUGGGAGUUCUUUAUCAAGAAACCUGAACUUGAAUGUAGCAUCUAGAACAAAAAAGAUUAUGCUGUAUGCAAGAUUUGUAUAUAGUAUAAUCUGAAACUGUAAUCUUGUGUAUUGCUUGUGUAUUUUGUAAUUGUAUGUUUUACAUGGAACGACAAGCAAAAUCCCAAUCUCUUAGAGCGUUCAAGGCUGUAGUGACUAUCAGACUUUCCUAUGUAGAGUGUAAACUGUUUUUAAACAUGGUCAAACUUAAAUUUCACAGCCAGUAGUUUUAAUACAGAAUUUAAGAUGAUGCUGCUGAUGUUAAAUGUUUAAAUUAUUCAUUUGUUGUUUGAGAAACACUAUGCUUCUGAACCCUUUGAGAUUUGUGCAUGGAGGGGUUCAGGACAGUGAGAAAAUUAAGAAUAUAUGCAAUUUGUAAUGAAAAACACGUUGUGGUUGUGCUUGGGCAUUUUGCCUUUCAGCAUCAUAGUUGUUUUUUGAUCAUAAAUGAACAUGGCCAGAAUUCUUUCAGAUUUUCACUUUGGCAUUAAUUUGUCUUUAUGCAGUUUUGGCUUAAUUUAUUGAAUUUUGUACCGCAUUUAAAGAAGAAACAAAAAAUGGUGACCUCUGGGAGAAUUGACUGAUUUUGAAGGAUCCAGUGUACCUCAUCCAUUUCAUAAGAGAUUAUACUGAUUGGGCAGUCUUUACUGUAUACAAUUAGUCAUUUUCCUUUGUUGUGCCACAUUUUUUGGACCAGUAGUUGUGCAGCAUUGAACUGUCAAGCUUUCAUCGUUUUAAAAGGGCAGUUGUUUACGAUGUUGAACACUGGAGUUGAUUUAUCAACUCUGUUGCUUUUCAAUUUGGGUGGUGUGAUAUUUUGUAAGACUUAUGCUGUUUGUAAAAUACAAUCAUUUAUUGCAA
RNA transcript from Cyprinus carpio (common carp), 3271 nucleotides. It is a transcript of the gene named rac GTPase-activating protein 1-like, with no coding region annotated. NCBI's taxonomy places the organism in Eukaryota, Metazoa, Chordata, Actinopteri, Cypriniformes, Cyprinidae. The transcript has 17 exons. The record is from RefSeq and is a predicted model, not a curated record.